UGUUAUUUAACAAGGCAACAUGCCAUACAAACAUGGAUAUGGCUCAGUAUGAUGUGUCAUGACCAAAAAUAAAUAAAUAAACAUCUGAGUUUAGAACAUGCAUAUUGCGACAUCUAGCGAGCACACUUGGUGGUCUUGUGUGAAUUUGUCCAGAUCCUGUUGGAAAGUGCUCUUCUAUGCCAUGUGUCAGUGUAUUUUACAGCCACUUUAUGCCAGGGUAGAGCUACAUCAAGCUGAGUAUUCAUCAGACCUGACUGACACCGAAGGUGGCUCAAGAAGAAGAAAGUAGGUGUGUGCGGGAAUACAGGUUAAUAGUAAUAUCCCCUAGAAAUAAUAUGGAAGCAGUAGGUAUGGUGUGCUGUAUAUGUUUAUGUUAACCUCUCUAGAGCAAGUGCAAAACUCCUCCAGAGUUAAGUGAGCAGCCAAUCAGAAUCAAGUGAGUAUGCCGAUUCGGAGUACGAACUUCCACUCACUCCCUCAGACCAGCUCCUUGGGCCAGCAGUGAAGAAAAUAACCAGCUGGGUCACCAGCCCCACUGUCCAGCGAGUCACCAGCCCCACUGUCCAGCGAGUCACCAGCCCCACUGCUCAAGUCACCAGCCCCAUUGCCCAAUGAGUCGCCAGCCCCACUGCCCAGAGGGUUGCCAGGCCCACUUGUGAAGACAUGUUCUCUAAACUUACAAUUGUAGAAGAAGUGAAGUAGACCCAACAGGUUCAUGGUAAGAUGUUAAAUGUCCUGCUGAAGGAGCAAGAUGGAUCGGUGGUAGAGGUCCCUGAAGGAGUGGUCUUCCCUCUGAAAACCCAAGCUGAUGCUGAGGCUCUUGAUGAGAAGCUGUUGCCAUGGUGGCAGAUGUAGGGGGCACAAGUGUGGAUGAUGUAACAAGAAGAAUGAUGAAAUACGUCUUAUCAAAUAAGCUGGCAAUGGAGUACAAUAUGUUUGGCCGUCACAGGAAAAAUAUUCUUCAAGCUUACUGAUGUUGAAAGCAGACGUUUUCAUAACUUUCUCAAUUCUGAACCUUUUGUCAAUUUUGCUUCAGACAGUUAUAUUUGACUGUAAACAACCUUCUAAAAGGGUUAGAUUAAAAAAUGGUUAACUUAUUCUUUAAUGUCAUUUUUGUCAUAGAUAACUUUGAAAAGAUACCUUUUCAUCCGGCAAUGUUCUUUAUUAUUGCCUCUGGAAAUGACAUAGAAUGGACUACAGAAAUAUUUCUUAAAUGAGUGUAAUCAGACAUCCAAGGCAUUUGUUUAUGAGGGUGUGAAUCCUUUACAAUAAUUGUUUUUUGAUGUUAUAGUCCAAUAUAUCCUAA
Long non-coding RNA from Thunnus maccoyii (southern bluefin tuna), 1306 nucleotides. RefSeq lists it as uncharacterized. NCBI's taxonomy places the organism in Eukaryota, Metazoa, Chordata, Actinopteri, Scombriformes, Scombridae. The record is from RefSeq and is a predicted model, not a curated record. The transcript is spliced from 4 exons.